RNAcentral lists this ribosomal RNA (506 nucleotides) under uncultured bacterium. RNAcentral describes it as "partial 16S ribosomal RNA". It matches the Rfam family "Bacterial small subunit ribosomal RNA", at positions 28 to 523 of the family's 1533-position model. The record is from RNAcentral.
GAUGAACGCUAGCUACAGGCUUAACACAUGCAAGUCGAGGGGUAACGAGAGGAAAGCUUGCUUUCCUUGUCGACGACCGGCGCACGGGUGAGUAACGCGUAUCCAACCUGCCCCCAACUAGGGAAUAACCUUGCGAAAGUAAGACUAAUACCCUAUAAUUUCCUCAGAAGACAUCUGACGAGGAAUAAAGAUUUAUCGGUUGUGGAUGGGGAUGCGUCUAAUUAGCUUGUUGGCGGGGUAACGGCCCACCAAGGCAACGAUCAGUAGGGGUUCUGAGAGGAAGGUCCCCCACAUUGGAACUGAGACACGGUCCAAACUCCUACGGGAGGCAGCAGUGAGGAAUAUUGGUCAAUGGGCGGAAGCCUGAACCAGCCAAGUAGCGUGCAGGAUGACGGCCCUAUGGGUUGUAAACUGCUUUUAUACAGGAAUAAAGUUAGCCACGUGUGGUUAUUUGUAGGUACUGUAUGAAUAAGGACCGGCUAAUUCCGUGCCAGCCGCCGCCGUAA